RNAcentral lists this ribosomal RNA (460 nucleotides) under uncultured bacterium. RNAcentral's name for it is "partial 16S ribosomal RNA". It matches the Rfam family "Bacterial small subunit ribosomal RNA", at positions 338 to 795 of the family's 1533-position model. The record is from RNAcentral.
CCUACGGGAGGCUGCAGUGAGGAAUAUUGGUCAAUGGGCGCGAGCCUGGACCAGCCAAGUAGCGUGAAGGAUGACUGCCCUACGGGUUGUAAACUUCUUUUAUAAAGGAGUAAAGUGAGGCACGUGUGCCUUUUUGUAUGUACUUUAUGAAUAAGGCUCGGCUAACUCCGUUCCAGCAGCCGCGGUAAUACGGAGGAUCCGAGCGUUAUCCGGAUUUAUUGGGGUUAAAGGGAGCGUAGAUGGGUUUUUAAGUCAGUUGUGAAAGUUUGCGGCUCAACCGUAAAAUUGCAAUUGAUACUGGCAGCCUUGAGUACAGUUGAGGUAGGCGGAAUUCGUGGUGUAGCGGUGAAAUGCUUAGAUAUCACGAAGAACUCCGAUUGCGAAGGCAGCUUACUAAACUGCCACUGACAUUGAUGCUCGAAAGUGUGGGUAUCAAACAGGAUUAGAUACCCCAGUAGUC